Molecule: small RNA, 2340 nt
Filed under: Pongo abelii (Sumatran orangutan)
Lineage: Eukaryota; Metazoa; Chordata; Mammalia; Primates; Hominidae
Description: retained intron
Source: RNAcentral
ACUUCCUGCGCGGGGGCCCGAGCCGCUCCGUCUCCCUGCUCUCCGUGGUCCCGGCUCGCGUGUAGCGGCGGCGGCGGCGUCUCCGUGAGGAGGCGCGCGGGGCCAUGACGUCAGCGUCCACAAAGGUCGGAGAGAUCUUCUCGGCGGCCGGCGCCGCCUUCACGAAGCUCGGGGAGCUGACGAUGCAGCUGCAUCCCGUGGCCGACUCUUCCCCUGCGGGGUACGUGAGCCCGGACUGGGACGUGGACGCUGAGAGCGGGCGCUUGGACUCGGUCACAGACACGGACCCUCUCUAGCACAGGGACAGACAUUAGUUUCCCUUUGUGCCUGGCACAGCACAGAGUAGGUGUUAAUAAAUGAUCGUUGGAUGAGGGAAUGAAUGACAGAUAAAAACACAGACAGGCCCAUAGCCCAGACUCCUGUUUCACAGUUCUCCCUGCUGCGAACGGGCCGACCACAAACCACCGCCACUCCCAACCACCCCAGUUCAUGGAAUUCCCCCAGACGGCUGCAGGCUGUGUUGGUGGAUCUGUUUGAAAAGCCCUUCUUGGCGAGUUGGUUUCAGUGUGCUGUGUACAGCAGCGGUUUAACGUUGAUGGUGGAAAGGGGUGUCUAAGGUGGAGGUGGUUGUGAUUUCUUGUGAUUGGGGUCCUCCCGGUUCCCGCAGGGCCUCAAGAGCUUUCCCCCUCCCCUUAUGGAGGACCUCUUUAUGCAUCCGUGGAAGGGGUCCCAGAAAUCGGAAGGAGGCGGCUGGUUGGCUGUGGGAUGCAUAGCCUGUGGGCUGGCUCCACACCCCCCCUCCCAUUUUUGCUAUCCCCCCUCUCCCCUUCUGACAGUGCGAAGUGGACGGAGACGGAAAUAGAGAUGCUGAGGGCUGCUGUGAAGCGAUUUGGGGACGAUCUUAAUCACAUCAGCUGUGUCAUCAAGGAACGGACAGUGUGAGGGAGGGUGGCUGCCAGAAAAGGGCGGGUGGGCAGCCUUCUUCCUCCUUACCCAAGGUUCCAUCGUCCUCAGAACUCCUUUCCAGCUCAGCUGCUUCCCUACUUUGUCACUAGUUUUUUAGAAUCCCCUUGAGGACUGAAAGAAUAGAAUUGUCACAGUUGGUCAGAAGUUCCUAAAAUGCUGUGGUAAUCCUUCCAAGAAUGAAUUUAGGUUGCCUGAGAUGCUGUUAUUGUAUUUGAUGAUGGAAGUCCCCUGGUUAUUUAUAUAAAUGUUUGAGGACCCCACUGCAGUGUUUCCAGGGAUAUGGUGAUCCUGAACUAGUUGAUCAGUAAAUCUCAAUCCAUCUGUAAAUCACCAAACUUUACCUGAUGUCUCUCCCGGAAGAGAAUUAGGAGAUGGGCCUUUCCCACUGCUCAGUUCAGGGACUCCACUCUCCACACUCCAUCCACCCUGAGUGAGCAUAAAACUUCGGGAAAGUGAGAACCCUACCAAUGGGUUGGGGCCCCAACCUGGAUUCUUAUGAAGGGACUCCCAGAACCCCUUCCCCUCCCGUCCCCUCUUCUGUAAGUCUCUUUGAUGACUCCUUUCCUAACCUCUUCUCUCUUUUCUUCAGGGCUCAGAUAAAGGCCACUGUGAAACGCAAGGUAUAUGAAGAUUCUGGCAUCCCCCUUCCAGCUGAGUCACCCAAGAAAGGGCCCAAGAAGGUGGCAUCUGGUGUCUUGUCACCUCCUCCAGCUGCCCCUCCUCCCAGCAGCUCCAGUGUCCCUGAGGCCGGGGGUCCCCCCAUAAAGAAACAGAAGGCUGGUGAGGGCUGUGGAGUUGCUUCCUAGGGGUUAAAGGUCCCAUCUGAGGUUUAGUGAGAGAAUUGGGUCUGGGUCAAAGAAGGGUCAAUCUCUCUUCCUGUCCCUGUGGAGGUUCCCAGAGAGGGGCAGAGGGGAGGGGAGAGGAGGCACGAAGCUUUGGGAAGCUUGGGGCUGGGGGAGAGGCUGUCAGGGGAACCUAGAACCUAGCUUAUGCCCCCUUCCCAGAUGUGACACUCAGUGCUCUGAACGACUCCGACGCCAACAGUGACCUGGUGGAUAUUGAAGGGCUAGGAGAAACUCCUCCAGCUAAGAAACUCAACUUCGACCAGGCCUGACCCUGGAUUCUGGCCUUCUCAUGACCUCUGCUGAUCCUCCUCUCCUCUCCUGCUGAGCCUUCCACCUCUGACCUCUCACUGUUCAUGCCGGACCUGUGGAUCUCCUGGGACUCCGAGCAAGGCCUGCACGAGAGAGGGCUGAAAGGCUGCUGGGGCUGCCACCUCGCUAUUCCCGCAUAAGCACCUGCCCCCAACCCCUUUGACCUUCAUCUGAUGGACAUUUUUAUACAGAAAACAAUAAAGAUUUCCCUCUCAGCUUC